UCGGCCGCCUGGAAUGGUUCGGCCCGCGGCCCGGCCCGGCCUCUGAGGGGCCGCGGCCGCCAUUUUGUGUGGUGGUGGAUAGAGUGCGGUAGCGGCGGUGUUGCGGGAUUCUUGGGACGUCGCUCCCUUCUCUGGCCGUAACUUCCCGCGAAGAUGUCGGAGUAUAUCCGAGUGACGGAGGACGAGAACGAUGAGCCCAUCGAAAUCCCGUCGGAGGACGACGGCACGGUGCUGUUGUCCACGGUGACGGCGCAGUUCCCCGGGGCGUGCGGGCUGCGCUACAGAAACCCAGUGUCGCAGUGCAUGCGAGGAGUCCGGCUGGUUGAGGGCAUCCUGCACGCCCCCGAGGCCGGCUGGGGAAACCUUGUCUACGUCGUGAAUUAUCCCAAAGAUAAUAAGAGAAAAAUGGAUGAAACUGAUGCGUCAUCAGCUGUGAAAGUGAAACGAGCAGUGCAGAAGACUUCAGAUUUAAUAGUCUUGGGUCUUCCCUGGAAAACCACUGAGCAAGAUUUAAAGGAAUAUUUCAGUACCUUUGGAGAAGUUCUGAUGGUGCAGGUUAAGAAGGAUAUUAAAACAGGCCACUCGAAAGGUUUUGGGUUUGUUCGAUUCACGGAUUACGAAACCCAAGUGAAAGUAAUGUCUCAGCGUCACAUGAUUGAUGGAAGAUGGUGUGACUGUAAACUUCCCAACUCUAAGCAAAGUCCCGAUGAACCUUUGCGCAGCAGGAAGGUGUUUGUUGGGCGCUGCACCGAGGACAUGACGGCAGAUGAACUCCGACAGUUCUUUGCCCAGUAUGGGGAAGUGGUAGAUGUCUUCAUUCCUAAACCCUUCCGAGCUUUUGCUUUUGUUACAUUUGCAGAUGAUCAGGUUGCCCAGUCUCUUUGUGGAGAGGACUUGAUCAUUAAAGGAAUCAGCGUACAUAUAUCUAAUGCUGAACCUAAGCACAAUAGCAGUAGACAGUUAGAGAGAGGUGGAAGAUUUGGUGGUAACCCGGGUGGCUUUGGGAAUCAGGGGGGGUUUGGUAACAGCAGAGGAGGUGGGGGAGGACUGGGCAACAACCAGGGCAGCAACAUGGGCGGGGGUAUGAACUUUGGGGCAUUUAGCAUCAACCCUGCCAUGAUGGCAGCAGCGCAGGCGGCCCUGCAGAGCAGCUGGGGGAUGAUGGGUAUGCUGGCCAGCCAGCAGAACCAGUCAGGGCCUUCGGGAAACAACCAGCCUCAGGGCAACAUGCAGCGGGAGCAGAACCAGGGUUUUAGUUCAGGCAACAACUCAUAUGGAGGGUCCAACUCAGGGGCAGCAAUAGGCUGGGGCUCAGCCUCGAAUGCAGGCUCCAGCAGUGGGUUUAACGGAGGCUUUGGUUCAAGCAUGGAUUCCAAGUCGUCAGGCUGGGGAAUGUAGACGCAGUGGGCUCUGAUACUGACUCUAUGGUGGGAAAUCAGAUUUUUCUAACUCAUGUUCAUCUCAUUUCAAAUGUGUAUGGAAGAAGCACUUCAUUGAAAGCAGUGCUGUAAAUAUUCUGCCUUAGGAAUACUUCUGUCUACAUGCUUUCUCAUCCAAGAAUACUUCAUCACACCGCACAUGCUGCGUCUUAGACGGUGGGUGUUCCAUUUUUAUCCGCUACUCUUUAUUUCAUGGAGUCGUAUCAACGCUGUGAACGCAAGGCUGUGAGAUGGAACCAGAAGGCUGUUUGAACUUUUGAAACCAUGUGUGGGAUUGGUGGUGGUGCCGAGGCAUGAGAGGGCUGGUAUGUGCGAGAUAAAGGAGCGAGCGCAUGCAGAGACCUGGUGGUGCAUUAAUGGGAUUUUAUUUGACUUGGCGAGAUGUCUCUCAAUCCUGUGGCUUUGGUGAGAGAGUGUGCGGAGAGCAAUGGUAGCAGAUAACGUACGAGUGUUUAUUGCAUUCAAAGGACGUCCACAUGUGGAAGACUUUAAGUGGGUUCUCUACCUAGUUAAUCAAUUAGUUGAAUGUGUUACGUGAAAUGGAAUAUUUGUAUUUCUUUUCCCUUAUGUCAACUGCUGUGAAUGCUGUAUGGUGUGUGUUUUUUUCUGUUAAUGAUCUGUAAGUGUGGUAAUGUGACUUGAAGAUGAUGGGGGUUGUGGUGAGAACAUUGAGCUUGCGUGCUUUGCAGUAGCUCUUUUAGCAGAGAUCACUAGAGCUCAGUGUGCCUCUCCAGGGUGGAAGUUCCACUGUCUGUAAGAUAUCCAAAAGAAUGCUGUUUGCUGCAGUUUCGUGUUUGGAUGCUUUUUAUAAGAUUUGUCACUGUAGGAAAUUCUUAAAUAAAACUGAUUUAAGUAAUAUGUGUCUUUGUUUUGCAGCCCUGAAUGCAAAGAAUUCAUAGCAGUUAAUUAAUUUUACCCUUUUGCGAUGAACUUCUGUAAAGCUUUUUGCAGUCACUCGGUUUGUUUCAGAUAAGCAGGUUCUAAAGGAGCCACCGCUCAGCACGUAUCGAUACCUGAUACUCUCCUCUAAGCCACUGUACCCUUGCACUGUGCAGUGACAUAGAUCUAAAAUCCAGGUCCCACACCUUGGGGUGCCUGCACCUAGACUGGUAAGCAGCUCCCUCCAGAUUUCAUCUGUGCCAAGGAACAUUACUUGUUCUUUUAGCAAUGGAAGUUCCUUAUCAGAAAUGUGUUGGGGGAAAGAGAGUUGCUGUCAUGAUGAAUUUCUGUCCACAUCUACUUUGGGGAUGGAUGUUUUUAACGUGUUUCUAGAUGAGCCCACUCAAGGGAAACAGGCUUCUGCCGCACUUCCAGCCCAGAAGAAUGCUGUUAACUCCUGUUAAAAACUAGUCACAGGAAAAACUUUCCAGAUGAAUAAAGCACUGUAAAUAUACACAGACUGCUAAAGUUUGAACUGAGUUAUGACAGGUGCAGAGGUGCCACAUUGGAUAGGAGGCAGCUUCUUAACAAAGUGUACGGCAUUAGAGCAGAAACUAGCAGAAGGUUAUUUCCACUUGUGGUAUGAGCUUGAGGAAUUGUGUUGUGUACUUGGGGUUGCAACCCACUGAAGCUUGGAUCUGUAUUUUUCUAUACACCAUAAUACUGCGCUGUAGCUGUGAAUAGUCUGAAUAUGGAUAUUUACACAGUUUUUAACCUAUGUAAUUUUCAAGCGAAUCUUCAUGACUCUAUCCCACUGAGGCUUGUGAAUAGCAGAGCAUCUAAACAGCAAACAAAACUGCAUGACUGAGUUUUCCACCUGCAGAAUGAAAAAAUCAGUUGUGCCUUAAUGUGCUUGGUUUAAAGAGGGUUUCUAAACACCCAGGCUGAGAAAAAAAUCCCACACAUUUGUUCAUAUUCCACUGAAAAAGUUGCUUACAUUUUUUUCUGCACCUUAAUCAGAAUAAUCUCCAAACUGUCCCAUCUGUGAAUUUUGCAUUUUAGCACUUGCACUAUUACCAGCUACUUCUGCUGAGUAACACUUUAAAAUGGUAUUCUUGGACCUCCAAAGACUAACUGUGACCCCCUGCAAGGAACCUCAUGGUAAGUUUUUGUAAUUAGCAUGGUUUUAAUUCUGUUUAAAUUGGUCAGGUUUAGGUUUAAAAGACUGGUUGGCAGCACUGAGUAGUCCUUGCUAAUAAUUUUAGCCUUCCGUUACCUUCAAACAAAAUCUGAAAAUUCUAGAAUUUCAAGUUUCAGUAGCAUUUUAACUGUGUUGCAUACUAGAAUGUUUAUAAGUGAGCAAAUAAACUAUCACUGAAAAUACA
Molecule: RNA transcript, 3703 nt
Organism: Passer montanus (Eurasian tree sparrow)
Lineage: Eukaryota; Metazoa; Chordata; Aves; Passeriformes; Passeridae
Gene: TARDBP
Gene name: TAR DNA binding protein
Exons: 7
Source: RefSeq, a predicted model, not a curated record